GAUGAACGCUGGCGGCGUGCCUAAUACAUGCGAGUCGAGCGAACGGACGAGAAGCUUGCUUCUCUGAUGUUAGCGGCGGACGGGUGAGUAACACGUGGAUAACCUACCUAUAAGACUGGGAUAACUUCGGGAAACCGUAGCUAAUACCGGAUAAUAUUUUGAACCGCAUGGUUCAAAAGUGAAAGACGGUCUUGCUGUCACUUAUAGAUGGAUCCGCGCUGCAUUAGCUAGUUGGUAAGGUAACGGCUUACCAAGGCAACGAUGCAUAGCCGACCUGAGAGGGGAACGGGCCAACCUGAAACUAGAACACGGACAAGACUACUACGGGAGGAAGAAGGAGGAAAUCUUCGGCAAGGGAGGAAGACAGAAGGAAGCAACGACGCGAAAGUGAGGAGGCCUUCGGAUCGUAAAACUCGGUUAUAAGGAAAGAACAGAUGUGUAAGUAACGGUGAACACGUGAACGUAACAAAUCAGAAAGCCACGGCUAACUACGUG
This 495-nucleotide ribosomal RNA is filed under the name uncultured bacterium. RNAcentral's name for it is "partial 16S ribosomal RNA". It matches the Rfam family "Bacterial small subunit ribosomal RNA", at positions 28 to 507 of the family's 1533-position model. The record is from RNAcentral.